AUUGAAUUUCUUUUGAUGCUAGUGAAAUGCUUUUUAGUUAUAUGCAAGGCAUAUCCAAAUGCAUACAGAAUUUUUCCAAUCCAGAAAAACCACAUCCAUUAUCCAAAAAAGCAGCUACUAUUCUCCUUGUCACUUCUAAUGGUUUUCUUUUUUCUUUGGACCUAAUUUAUGGUGAAGAUAAUUGUUCACUAACAUUCUGUUCACAUAUCACAGAAAACGCUCAUCUUUGCUGAACUCACACUAGUACUUGGCAAGAACGUAAAGCAAAGUGAUUUACUAUAGCAAAUUAGACAUGCUAAUUCAUUUAUUAAUAGUUUUUAAUUGAGUAUCAGUAAUAAUGAAAUUAGAAAAAUUAUUUAUGUUGGUACCUUGACUUAGGAGUGUCUUGACUUACGUGUGUUUCGAGAUACAAGCAGUCUCCCUUGCUUUGAAUUGACAGUUAAAAUUCAGGUUACAAGCAGUGGCUAGCGGUAAAGUAAGUGCCGCCCGGAGCAUA
This 496-nucleotide long non-coding RNA is filed under the name Androctonus crassicauda. Lineage: Eukaryota; Metazoa; Arthropoda; Arachnida; Scorpiones; Buthidae. The record is from RNAcentral.